RNAcentral lists this ribosomal RNA (607 nucleotides) under uncultured bacterium. RNAcentral describes it as "bacterial SSU rRNA". It matches the Rfam family "Bacterial small subunit ribosomal RNA", at positions 8 to 591 of the family's 1533-position model. The record is from RNAcentral.
AGAGUUUGAUCCUGGCUCAGAACGAACGUUGGCGGCGUGCUUAACACAUGCAAGUCGAACGAGAACGGUUCCUUCGGGAACUCAGUAAAGUGGCGCACGGGUGAGUAACGCGUAAGUAAUCUACCUUUGCAUCUGGGACAACUACGGGAAACUGUAGCUAAUACCGGAUACGUUCUCCUUUCUACGGAUUGGAGAAGAAAGAUGGCCUCUUCUUGAAAGCUAUCGUGCAAAGAGGAGCUUGCGUACCAUUAGCUAGUUGGUAGGGUAAUGGCCUACCAAGGCAACGAUGGUUAGCGGGUCUGAGAGGAUGAUCCGCCACACUGGAACUGAAACACGGACCAGACUCCUACGGGAGGCAGCAGUGAGGAAUAUUGCGCAAUGGGGGAAACCCUGACGCAGCGACGCCGCGUGGAUGAUGAAGGCCUUCGGGUCGUAAAAUCCUGUCAGAUGGGAAGAAAUGUAUAUAGGCUAAUACCCUUUAUGCUUGACGGUACCAUCAAAGGAAGCACCGGCUAACUCCGUGCCAGCAGCCGCGGUAAUACGGAGGGUGCAAACGUUGUUCGGAAUUACUGGGCGUAAAGCGCGCGUAGGCGGUUUGUUAAGUCAG